UGUUAAAAAGGUGACACCACCUUCUUGACAAGUACUCUAGCCGCUGAAAGAGCUAAGAGCCGUAGAAGUUGUCCCAUUCAAUUCAAUAGACAUUUGUCCCUCAAGAACUCAAAUAGCACAUGUAGAUUUGUCCCCUGCAUCAAUACCGUAGAAUUUGCCAUAUUUCAUUUAUGAAAUGGAAUACAGCUUUCCAAAGUGAUAGAACACCAAAACAAGAAGAGGUGGGGUAUUCUCAAAGUUCACUGGAGUUUUCCAGUAAAAGAUGAGCUAAUAUGCUAAGAAGAAAACGAAGAAAACGUAACCAAAAUAAAAGAAGAAAUGCAUUCAUGGCACAUCCUGGAGAAUAUUUAGAUUAGGAGCCCGAAUCAUCCACCCAGCUGCUGAGAGGACAUCACCUGAUCUCAUCUUGCUGCCCUCGAAAAUGAAAUUAUGUCGAGAUCUCCAAAUGUUUCAGCAUAGACUCGCCAAAAAACGACAAUCAGCUUCUUCUUCAGAUUGUUGCUGCAAUUGGGUAGUUGAUGCUUCCCACCACGAGGCAAAGUCUGAGAACAGAGAAGCUUGAGGGAGCUGUUGUAAGUGACUGAGAGCCCCGAUUUCAACUGAAUCAGAACAAAGAUUGAGGCAGUGGAGCACAGAUUCAUCAUCACCACUUACAUUUUACCACAUAAAUUAACACCAAUUUGCGCCUUCUCCAUUUCACCUCUGUCAUUUCACCAACCUUCCCUCUCUACUGCCGCCGCGCCGUCUUCGCUCUGCUGCUCCCGCGCUCGUCGCAGCUCCGUCACACUCGCGCCGCUGUUGCUCUGUUAGACUAGCGUCGAUGUCGCUCUCGUUAUAAAUCUCUUCAGUUGCAAUAGAGUUCUUAGCUACAAUCAUGAUAAAGAAGAACAAUAGCGCCGAAGAAGAAGAACGAGAUCUGACUGAAACUGCGAUUUAGAUCUUGUUUCAUCUUGAUCUCUCGGAAAAUCAGAUUUAGAAGCUAAUCAACAACGAGUGCCUUCAGUUCCUUGAAUCGUUGCUGCAAGCGUUGAAGCUUGGGAGCUGCCAAUCAAGAGCGUACGCAACACUGCUUUUGAAAUCGGCAUUUGCGGUUUCAAAUCCGAUCCAGUGGAUCAGCGCGACAACCGAAAUGUUGUUUGAAAGCACGAGUGUGAUACGAGAUUGUAUAUCGCAGGAGGCUCAUAAGACGGCAUUGAAGCUGGUGGUUGAGCUCUGUCAUGGGGAAGAAACAGAAUCAAGCAGUGGAAGCCGGCGCGGUGUCCGUGCUCGUUUAAGUGCUUCUUGAUUGGACGGAAAGUUAUAUGAUUGCCUUUGAUAUUUAUGUUAGUAAAUUUUUUGGAUGAAUGUUGGAGCUAAGUGCGGCAGUGGAAAUUAAAGCAGCAUACAAAAAGGAAGAAGAUGCAUAUGAUAUAUGAUAUAUAUGAUUUAUUAUUGUCCAUUUUCAAAUUAAACUAUUAAUUUGCUUCUUCAACUGUAUGUAUAUGUAGUAUAUAAAUGCUUCGUUUCCAAUAAGCUAGACGAUAGAGAUGCAUUACUUUUCUAUCUCACUCUGAUAUAAUUAAUUAAUAUUAGGCAUGUCAUCAAGUAGAACACUAGUGAGGCAUGUGUUUGAUGUUCCUGAAGAGAUAUGUUACGUGCAAUGUGGAUUGUGUUCAUCCAUUUUAGUGGUGAGCGUGCCAUGCACCAGCAUGUCAAUGGCAGUUCUCAGUGUCAGAUGCGGCCACUGCACAACCAUUCUCUCUGUCAACAUGAUCAAACCUUUCCUUUCUUCCUUCUCUAGUAACCCCUUCCAAUCAGCUAAAUAUUGAGGAUGGCAACCAGAUUAGCACUUUGAACAGUCAUAAUAAUUAUUCUAAUUAUGAGGAAGCCAAUAAUAAUGUAACAACUCCAUUCACAAGUGAUUCUGCUCCGAAUAAACAUCAGCAAGUUUCUCUGCAUCCAUUAACCAUGUCAAUUCAAGAAUUUGCUUCUGCUGCCAAGCAAGUUGAUGAUGAAUCAAAGGUGAUAUAGUAGAUAUGAAGAAGCAAGCGUUGAAUGAUAGACUAAUCCUUGCCAAAAAAGGCUUCCUUGAUGCAGAUGGUCUUCAUGGAAGGCAGUGGUUCAAGCAUCUUGUGUUUGGGCGUCCAAGGGACAAAGAAAGCAAGCUAGAUUUCUUCCCCGGGAUUGCUGAUUCAAACAGGAAUCAUCAAAGGCAACGAGUGAAAGAGAAAGAAAAGAGCAAGGAAUUGGCCACUUGUCAGGGUCAAAUGAAGACCUUCAAGUUAACUGAAGCUCUCAAGAACAAGGCUAUAGAAGAGUUGAGAAAUGAAGUUGAUAAACUGAAGGAGAGGCUUGGAGUUACUGAGGAUCAUCUCAAAUAGAAAUGCAAGUACCCUCAUAUUGCUAUUGGCCUAUUGGGGAACUUGCUGCUUCAGCUCCAAUUCUCCAAUUUGAAGACAUUGUGCCACUAGAAACAUUCUAUGACAUUGUUUCCAGUGAUUUUAAGCGUGAGAGUUCUACUUGCUUUAACUACAUAAAACAGUCAUGGAAUGACAUAUCAUCAAUAGGUCAGACGCGUAAUGGCCUUGUGCAACUGUCCAACACUUGCCACUUCUGUCGGCCAUUGAAUAAGACUGAUGAUCUAUGGAACUGGUUGGUGUCUGCGAAUAGUUUUUUGGCAAUGGUGGACUACCCAUAUCCUGCUAACUUUAUGAUGCCUUUGCCUGGACAUCCCAUCAAGGAGAAAUCUCCUUGCUAGUUUGUGAUGCAACCAGGAAAUUGAUUUAACUAAUGGUUGUAUGAAGAAUAUUGGUGGGAGUGGUGAGAGCAGGGGGGAGACUAAUGGUACUCUAAGCCAGGAACUAACCAAUCCUUUUUCUAGUUUCCAUUCCAUUCUAACCAAGAAGGCUCCUGAUUGUCUUUACAUAUCACCAAGAUUAAUAUAUAUUUAAAUAAUAUUAUUUAAAUUUAAAGGCUGAAUAAAAGGCUGAAUUUUAAAGGAUACAUAGCAUUUUCCAUAUCUUUAUAUAUUUCUGCAGUAUAUAUUUAUCAAUGAGUGCGGAAAUUUUAUAGUUUGUUCUUAUAAAAGGCCCCGCCGCUAUUCAUUGAGUUUUCUCUGCAUAUCAAAUACGUAAGCCAUCACUCUCAUACCAACCCAAUUCCUUCCUAGUUUUCUCUGCAUAUCAAAUACGUAAGCCAUCACUCUAAUUCCAACCCAAUUCCUUCCUAGUUUUCUCUGCAUAUCAAAUACGUAAGCCAUCGCUAUGGCUGAAGAGCAGGCGCUGUUGUUCACAUGCGUAAAUUGUUCACACGGUAAUUUUUUCGAAAGAGCAAGAUUGGAGCAACACUCCAAACAGAAACAUGACAAAUACGAGUAUUUCUGUGAAAAAUGCUCGAAUUGCUUUGAGACUAAAGCCUCAUUGACGCAACACAUCGGUGAGUGUCGGCACUGGGAUGGCCAUAGGCCACCCCGGAGCAGAAGGUUAGAAGACAAAAACGGUGACGGCCACCGUCACCCUAUAUUUAUGUUAAGUUAUCUUCUUCCAUCUGCGGCUGAUACAAGCUUCAAGAAUGGAAUGUUUGAAUGUGCUUUUGCACAUCAGGCUUGGGCCUCAAUUGAAGACUAUUUUUCAAAGAUCUCCGGGAUUAAAGAACAGCAACAGAACUCAAAACGAUCAAAAAGCAAGGUUUUGUGGUCUUGGAGAAAAUCUAUAGAAGAUGCAAGAUCAACCAAUAAUAAUGCUAAAUCUCCUAAGAAGGGCAUUUAUGAGUUUAAUCGUGUUGCUGUUACAAGAUCAACUAAUAAUAAUGCUAAAUCUCAGAGUUCUUUUAAUAAGCUUCAUAUAUAUCCUAAGGUGUUUUCUGCUGCUAUUGAUUCUUAUGCUUUCUCCAAGAUUAGCAAUUGAAAGCAGAACUCAAAACAAUCAAAAAGCAAGGUUUUUGAUACAACCACAUGUAUUUCUCUUGUUGGGAAUGGUGCUCUGAUGCAGGUUUUGUGGUCUUGGAGAAAAUUUAUAGCAGAUGCAAGAUCAACCAAUAAUAAUGCUAAAUCUCAGAUUUCUUUUAAUAAGGUUCAUGUAUAUCCUAAGGUGUUUUCUGCUGCUAUUGAUUCUUAUGCUUUUAUGGCACAAUAGGGUAGGUCAUUGUGCACAAAAAAUUGUGCAAGCUGUGAUGAGAUCAUGUAAUAUGAAUAUCCCUUCGAAUAUUAAUAAGACAGAUUGUGUGAAUUUUGCUGCAUGGCUAAAAUGCAUCUUUUACCCUUCCAUCACGAUUCUUACAAUUUUAAUGCACUUCUUGACAUGAUUUAUUCAUAUUUAUGGGGUCCUGCCCCUAUUACUUCAUUUCAUGGCUUUAACUACUAUAUUU
Arachis stenosperma is the source of this 4344-nucleotide long non-coding RNA. RefSeq lists it as uncharacterized. The transcript is spliced from 13 exons. The record is from RefSeq and is a predicted model, not a curated record. Lineage: Eukaryota; Viridiplantae; Streptophyta; Magnoliopsida; Fabales; Fabaceae.